GAUGAACGCUGGCGGCGUGCCUAACACAUGCAAGUCGAGCGAUUUACUUCGGUAAAGAGCGGCGGACGGGUGAGUAACGCGUGGGUAACCUGCCCUGUACACACGGAUAACAUACCGAAAGGUAUGCUAAUACGAGAUAAUAUGCUUUUAUCGCAUGGUAGAAGUAUCAAAGCUUUUGCGGUACAGGAUGGACCCGCGUCUGAUUAGCUAGUUGGUAAGGUAACGGCUUACCAAGGCGACGAUCAGUAGCCGACCUGAGAGGGUGAUCGGCCACAUUGGAACUGAGACACGGUCCAAACUCCUACGGGAGGCAGCAGUGGGGAAUAUUGCACAAUGGGCGAAAGCCUGAUGCAGCAACGCCGCGUGAGCGAUGAAGGCCUUCGGGUCGUAAAGCUCUGUCCUCAAGGAAGAUAAUGACGGUACUUGAGGAGGAAGCCCCGGCUAACUACGUGCCAGCCGCCGCCGUAA
RNAcentral lists this ribosomal RNA (468 nucleotides) under uncultured bacterium. RNAcentral describes it as "partial 16S ribosomal RNA". It matches the Rfam family "Bacterial small subunit ribosomal RNA", at positions 28 to 523 of the family's 1533-position model. The record is from RNAcentral.